This 328-nucleotide unclassified non-coding RNA is filed under the name soil metagenome. Its description in RNAcentral is "partial contains 5.8S ribosomal RNA, internal transcribed spacer 2, and large subunit ribosomal RNA". The stretch from base 1 to 120 matches the Rfam family "5.8S ribosomal RNA", at positions 35 to 154 of the family's 154-position model. The record is from RNAcentral.
GAUGAAGAACGCAGUGAAAUGCGAUAAGUAAUGUGAAUUGCAGAAUUCAGUGAAUCAUCGAAUCUUUGAACGCACAUUGCGCCCCUUGGUAUUCCGAGGGGCAUGCCCGUUCGAGCGUCAUUAUACCCCUCAAGCCUAGCUUGGUGUUGGGGCCUGCUGUUACCGGCAGCCCUUAAAAUCAGUGGCGGUGCCAUCUGGCUCUAAGCGUAGUAAUACUUCUCGCUACAGGGUCCCGGUGGAUGCUUGCCAUCAACCCCUAAUUUUCUAUGGUUGACCUCGGAUCGGGUAGGGAUACCCGCUGAACUUAAGCAUAUCAAUAAGCGGAGGG